CAGCUAGUUGGUGAGGUAACGGCCCACCAAGGCUAUGAUGGGUAGCUGGUCUGAGAGGACGGACAGCCACACUGGGACUGAGACACGGCCCAGACUCCUACGGGAGGCAGCAGUGAGGAAUUUUCCGCAAUGGGCGAAAGCCUGACGGAGCAACGCCGCGUGAGGGAUGAAGUCUCUAGGGAUGUAAACCUCUGUUGGGUGGGACGAAGAUCUGACGGUACCACCUGAGGAAGCCCCGGCUAACUACGUGCCAGCAGCCGCGGUAAUACGUAGGGGGCGAGCGUUAUCCGGAUUUACUGGGCGUAAAGAGCGCGUAGGCGGUUCCGUAAGUUGGUUGUGAAAGUUCGAGGCUCAACCUCGAAACUGCGUCCAAUACUGCGGGGCUGGAGUGCAAGAGAGGCAAGUGGAAUUUGCAGUGUAGUAGUGAAAUGCGUAGAUAUUGCAAGGAACACCAGUGGCGAAGGCGGCUUGCUAGCUUGUAACUGACGCUGAGGCGCGAAAGCUAGGGGAGCGA
RNAcentral lists this ribosomal RNA (514 nucleotides) under uncultured bacterium. RNAcentral's name for it is "SSU rRNA". It matches the Rfam family "Bacterial small subunit ribosomal RNA", at positions 242 to 771 of the family's 1533-position model. The record is from RNAcentral.